UUUGCGGCUGAAAUAGACUUGAAUUCUGCGGAACUGUUGCUGAGAAGCUAACCACAUUAAUGUUACACUCUGGUGAGUUUGUUCAUUUCAACUCUUGUCUGAGGCAACUUUAUUAAAUGUUUGUUUUGGACAUGUAACAUGAACUAUCAGGGAGGACAGUGCAGCACCUGGGCUAACGUUAUCCAUCACUCACUCAGCCAGCCUCUCUGCGGGCCUCUCAGGACAGGGUUAACUCCACUACCACCAUUAAGGCCCUCUGUGAACUCCCGACCUGUCAGUUCCACUGUACAACACCAUGGCCCCGGGACAGACAAGCUGGAGUGGAGAGACACAUGUAAACUGGCCCACACUCCCAUUAAGGACGGCUUACAUGGUGUCUCCACUUUGGCGUGACGACCGGCCAUUUAUUUCUACAGGAUUGUGAAGUUCAGACCGCAGCUCUCUACCGCAGCAGUCUAAUUGCCUGGGAGGCUCUCAGCAGGAGUGUGGCAGGCCUCUGGCAUUCCCGUUCCUGGCAAAGCUCUGCGCCAGUACUGCUGCAGUGCCAGCCCGCCCUGCCCUGCAUCCACGCCAGGGGUCUCAUAACCCAGAAGGAUCCCCCAUGAUGGGCACUCCCCACAAGGCCUCUGCGGAAACGGAUGGGAAACCCCAGGGAAGCAACAGAAAGAGGGAGCAAAACUAGUUUAACUGGUGCCAUCAAUCAUGACGAGGUUCAAGGCUUGAGACUUGAGGCUGUUGUACUUUACAAGUCGGGAUCUAAGGGGCCCUCCGAUCCACACCGGAGUGGAAGCAGAGCUGCGGGCAACUAGAGCAACACACCUGGGUUUUAUAGCCACGUGAGCGUCACCUGUCCCUACAUUACCUCAGUGGCUUACAUCACAGGGCGGUGAAGUGUUCUAUGAAACUUGUAAUUGUUGAAAGGGAUGCAAAGUAGACACGUUCAGCCAAGUGUGAAAACCCAGAGAGGUGUCUCAAAUCUGUGCGAGAGUAGAGUGCAGUGAAUUGACACAUGUAACCGUCCAUUCAUUUGAUUUAAGAGUGACAGUGUGACAGCAUGUUCAGGGAUAUUUUUUUUUUUUUUUGCCAGUUCUCAAAACUAUUGAAAAAAGGUUCUGAAAAAAAGAUGACUGGCCUUAUGGAACAGCACUUUAAAGGUUCUCUAUAUGAUGUUCAGAGCAUUAAUAUAGCAGCAAACAACUAUUUGUUAUGUAAAGAUAUAGAGAAGU
Long non-coding RNA from Sebastes umbrosus (honeycomb rockfish), 1226 nucleotides. RefSeq lists it as uncharacterized. The transcript is spliced from 5 exons. NCBI's taxonomy places the organism in Eukaryota, Metazoa, Chordata, Actinopteri, Perciformes, Sebastidae. The record is from RefSeq and is a predicted model, not a curated record.